This 162-nucleotide ribosomal RNA is filed under the name Myoporum insulare. RNAcentral's name for it is "5.8S ribosomal RNA". The record is from RNAcentral. Lineage: Eukaryota; Viridiplantae; Streptophyta; Magnoliopsida; Lamiales; Scrophulariaceae.
UAACGACUCUCGGCAACGGAUAUCUCGGCUCUCGCAUCGAUGAAGAACGUAGCGAAAUGCGAUACUUGGUGUGAAUUGCAGAAUCCCGUGAACCAUCGAGUCUUUGAACGCAAGWKGCGCCCGAAGCCAUUAGGCCGAGGGCACGUCUGCCUGGGCGUCACG